UUUGAUCUUUAAUUUAAAAAACAACCCUGUCAGAGUUCAGAACUCUGACAGGGUUUCUUGGAGAUUUAAAUUUACA
This 76-nucleotide unclassified non-coding RNA is filed under the name Flavobacterium xinjiangense. RNAcentral describes it as "Flavo-1 RNA". The record is from RNAcentral. Lineage: Bacteria; Pseudomonadati; Bacteroidota; Flavobacteriia; Flavobacteriales; Flavobacteriaceae.